GUCUAUGGCCAUGCCACCCUGAACAAGCCCUAUUCUCUCUGAUCUCAGAAGCUAAGCAGAGUCGGGCCUGCUUAGUACUUGGAUGGGAGACCACCUAGGAAGAUCAGGUGCUGUAGGCA
RNAcentral lists this ribosomal RNA (119 nucleotides) under Pteropus alecto (black flying fox). Lineage: Eukaryota; Metazoa; Chordata; Mammalia; Chiroptera; Pteropodidae. The record is from RNAcentral.